This 130-nucleotide small nucleolar RNA is filed under the name Octodon degus (degu). RNAcentral describes it as "Small nucleolar RNA SNORA8 (ENSODEG00000022617.1)". It matches the Rfam family "Small nucleolar RNA SNORA8". From Rfam's summary of the family: ACA8 is a member of the H/ACA class of snoRNA that guide the sites of modification of uridines to pseudouridines. Lineage: Eukaryota; Metazoa; Chordata; Mammalia; Rodentia; Octodontidae. The record is from RNAcentral.
CAUACUGCUAUGAGAGUUAUGUUUAUAAAAAUACAAAGAGGAAAGACAGUGCCAUAGAAAUUCAGUAUCUGGCAUCAUUGGUUUUCAUGUCUUUGUGCAUGUUAAACCUGGUAUUUCUAUCGAUACAUUA